AUACUUCCCUGUCAGGGGAAGGGUGAAGCCUAUUUAUGCUCUUGGGAUGUGCUGACCCAUGUGGUUUCGCCAAAUUUGGGAGACUUGACGGCAUAAUUUGUCACAGUGGGGGGGACUGCAUUUGAGCUUUCCUCUG
Molecule: small nuclear RNA, 136 nt
Filed under: Erinaceus europaeus (western European hedgehog)
Lineage: Eukaryota; Metazoa; Chordata; Mammalia; Eulipotyphla; Erinaceidae
Description: U1 spliceosomal RNA (ENSEEUG00000023397.1)
Rfam family: U1 spliceosomal RNA
About the family: U1 is a small nuclear RNA (snRNA) component of the spliceosome (involved in pre-mRNA splicing).
Source: RNAcentral